RNAcentral lists this ribosomal RNA (573 nucleotides) under uncultured bacterium. RNAcentral's name for it is "partial 16S ribosomal RNA". It matches the Rfam family "Bacterial small subunit ribosomal RNA", at positions 355 to 921 of the family's 1533-position model. The record is from RNAcentral.
UGGGGAAUUUUGGACAAUGGGCGAAAGCCUGAUCCAGCAAUGCCGCGUGUGUGAAGAAGGCCUUCGGGUUGUAAAGCACUUUUGUCCGGAAAGAAAUCCUUGGCUCUAAUACAGUCGGGGGAUGACGGUACCGGAAGAAUAAGCACCGGCUAACUACGUGCCAGCAGCCGCGGUAAUACGUAGGGUGCAAGCGUUAAUCGGAAUUACUGGGCGUAAAGCGUGCGCAGGCGGUUUGCUAAGACCGAUGUGAAAUCCCCGGGCUCAACCUGGGAACUGCAUUGGUGACUGGCAGGCUAGAGUAUGGCAGAGGGGGGUAGAAUUCCACGUGUAGCAGUGAAAUGCGUAGAGAUGUGGAGGAAUACCGAUGGCGAAGGCAGCCCCCUGGGCCAAUACUGACGCUCAUGCACGAAAGCGUGGGGAGCAAACAGGAUUAGAUACCCUGGUAGUCCACGCCCUAAACGAUGUCAACUAGUUGUUGGGGAUUCAUUUCCUUAGUAACGUAGCUAACGCGUGAAGUUGACCGCCUGGGGAGUACGGUCGCAAGAUUAAAACUCAAAUGAAUUGACGGGGUCA